UAGCGGCGGACGGGUGAGUAACACGUGGGCAACCUGCCUCAUAGAGAGGAAUAGGCCUUCCGAAAGGGAGAUUAAUACCUCAUAACAUUGCAGUUUCGCAUGGAACAGCAAUUAAAGGAGCAAUCCGCUAUGAGAUGGGCCCGCGGCGCAUUAGCUAGUUGGUGAGGUAACGGCUCACCAAGGCGACGAUGCGUAGCCGACCUGAGAGGGUGAUCGGCCACAUUGGGACUGAGACACGGCCCAGACUCCUACGGGAGGGCAGCAGUGGGGAAUAUUGCACAAUGGGGGAAACCCUGAUGCCAGCAACGCCGCGUGGGUGAUGACGGCCUUCGGGUUGUAAAAGCUCUGUCUUCAGGGACGAUAAUGACGGUACCUGAGGAGGAAGCCACGGCUAACUACGUGCCAGCCGCAGC
This 413-nucleotide ribosomal RNA is filed under the name uncultured bacterium. Its description in RNAcentral is "bacterial SSU rRNA". It matches the Rfam family "Bacterial small subunit ribosomal RNA", at positions 93 to 518 of the family's 1533-position model. The record is from RNAcentral.